This is a small nucleolar RNA of Benincasa hispida (wax gourd), 89 nucleotides long. RefSeq annotates it as small nucleolar RNA Z199. The record is from RefSeq and is a predicted model, not a curated record. NCBI's taxonomy places the organism in Eukaryota, Viridiplantae, Streptophyta, Magnoliopsida, Cucurbitales, Cucurbitaceae.
GAAUCAAGUGAUGAGAAAAAAACUGCAACAAUAUGAAUGGAAAAUAUGUUCCAUAUCCAUGAUUUUUGGUAUUUAAGUCUCUGAUGAUC